RNAcentral lists this ribosomal RNA (972 nucleotides) under Triticum aestivum (bread wheat). RNAcentral describes it as "partial small subunit ribosomal RNA". Lineage: Eukaryota; Viridiplantae; Streptophyta; Magnoliopsida; Poales; Poaceae. The record is from RNAcentral.
GGCCACUUCACUGCUAGAUGUCCUUAAGCUCUUUGUGAUCGUUGCAAGAAGAGGGGUCACUUAUAUGUUGUUUGCAAUGAAUUCUUUCCAUGGGAAUGCACCCCUGCGAUGUGUGCGUUUCAGUCCAAAGGGCAAGGUUUCUUUUACAUUCCUGAUUUUCGUGUGGAUAGGCAGCCUAGAGAGCGCAUUUUCAAUAUUGUUGUCACUAUUACUGAAGGGUCCGCUCCAACUAAAGAUAUUGAACAUGAGCUGAGCGUGUAUGUGGGUCAGGGGUGGAGAUGUUCGGCUAGAUUCUUUGCUCCGCAAAAAUUUGUUAUGAGAAUGCCGAAUCCUAGAGAGGUUGACAGAGCUCUUUUUGUUGAACAUGUUAGACUUAAACAAUGUGGAGUUAGUGUGAAAUUUUCCCCCUGGUCUGAGGAUAUUGACUCUGAGGGGCUUCUGGAAGUUGCAUGGGUCAGAAUUGGUAAGAUCCCACCUAACAAAAAAUGUGAUAAAGUUGUAGCUUAUGUGGGGGGAUUGGUUGGGAUCGCCCUGGAAGUGGAUAUGUCGACCAUUAAUCGUCCUUCUUCUGUCAGAGCAAAAAUAGGAUGCAGAUCUGUAUCCCAACUGCCUGUCACUGUGGAAGGAGUACUUGGGGACGCUUCUAUAAAUUCACCUAUGAAAUUGAAGAGGUUCUUGUUAAAAACCCUGUUGAUGAGGAGCCUGUGGAUCCUGUUGCUGAUGACAAAACCAAUCCUGAGUACACUUCUAAAAGGAAACAUACUGAUCAGGAGAAAAAGGAGAGCCCACCUGAUAAGCAUCGAUCUGGCAAAAAUGAUUACUCUUAUCAUGGGGGCAAGGCAUGUCGCCUGCUGCCUAGUGAUAAUGAAGAAAUUGAGGAGGAGGCCUCAUCUGAUAGUGGGGCAGACACUUCCUUGCUUAUUGAAACAAUGCAGAAGGAGAUUGAUGAUUGUGCUAGAGAGGAGAAGCUGA